RNAcentral lists this ribosomal RNA (468 nucleotides) under uncultured bacterium. RNAcentral's name for it is "partial 16S ribosomal RNA". It matches the Rfam family "Bacterial small subunit ribosomal RNA", at positions 28 to 507 of the family's 1533-position model. The record is from RNAcentral.
GACGAACGCUGGCGGCGUGCUUAACACAUGCAAGUCGAACGGAAAGGCCCUGCUUUUGUGGGGUGCUCGAGUGGCGAACGGGUGAGUAACACGUGAGUAACCUGCCCUUGACUUUGGGAUAACUUCAGGAAACUGGGGCUAAUACCGGAUAGGAGCUCCUGCUGCAUGGUGGGGGUUGGAAAGUUUCGGCGGUUGGGGAUGGACUCGCGGCUUAUCAGCUUGUUGGUGUGGUAGUGGCUUACCAAGGCUUUGACGGGUAGCCGGCCUGAGAGGGUGACCGGCCACAUUGGGACUGAGAUACGGCCCAGACUCCUACGGGAGGCAGCAGUGGAGAAUAUUGCACUAGGGGCGGAAGCCUGAUGCAGCAACGCCACGUGCGGGAUGACGGCCUUCGGUUUGUAAACCGCUUUCGCCUGUGACGAAGCGUGAGUGACGGUAAUGGGUAAAGAAGCACCGGCUAACUACGUG